Molecule: ribosomal RNA, 497 nt
Filed under: uncultured Glomeromycotina
Lineage: Eukaryota; Fungi; Glomeromycota
Description: partial small subunit ribosomal RNA
Rfam family: Eukaryotic small subunit ribosomal RNA
Source: RNAcentral
CCAAUAGCGUAUAUUAAAGUUGUUGCAGUUAAAAAGCUCGUAGUUGAAUUUCGGGAUUAGUACGUCGGUCGUGCCUUCGGUACGUACUGGUGUUACUGGUUCCUACCUUCUGACGAACCGUCAUGUCAUUAAUCUGGUGUGGCGGGGAAUCAGGACUGUUACUUUGAAAAAAUUAGAGUGUUUAAAGCAGGCUCGCGCUUGAAUACAUUAGCAUGGAAUAAUGAAAUAGGACGUUGACCCUAUUUUGUUGGUUUCUAGGAUUGACGUAAUGAUUAAUAGGGAUAGUUGGGGGCAUUAGUAUUCAAUUGUCAGAGGUGAAAUUCCUGGAUUUAUUGAAGACUAACUACUGCGAAAGCAUUUGCCAAGGAUGUUUUCAUUAAUCAAGAACGAAAGUUAGGGGAUCGAAGACGAUCAGAUACCGUCGUAGUCUUAACCAUAAACUAUGCCGACUAGGGAUCGGAUGAUGUUAUUUUUAAUGACUCAUUCGGCGCCUUACG